GAGUGUUACAGCUCUUAAUGGAAUUUGUCUAGCAGGUUUUUUGGUCUUCACAGGAAACUUCCCCU
This is a small nuclear RNA of Nomascus leucogenys (northern white-cheeked gibbon), 65 nucleotides long. Its record names the gene U7. It matches the Rfam family "U7 small nuclear RNA". Rfam says of the family: Animal histone pre-mRNAs are spliced by a different mechanism than nuclear pre-mRNAs and self-splicing introns. This processing involves the U7 snRNP, which contains only one RNA species: U7. NCBI's taxonomy places the organism in Eukaryota, Metazoa, Chordata, Mammalia, Primates, Hylobatidae. The record is from Ensembl.